CUCCCUUCGGGGAGAAGUAGAGUGGCGCACGGGUGAGUAACACGUAGGUAAUUUGCCUUCGGGUGGGGAAUAACUCAGGGAAACUUGAGCUAAUACCGCAUAAUGCAGCGGCUCGACAUCGAGACAGUUGUUAAAGCGGGGGAUUCCGCAAGGAACCUCGCGCCUGAAGAGAAGCCUGCGGCAGAUUAGCUAGUUGGUAAGGUAAUGGCUUACCAAGGCGACGAUCUGUAACCGGCCUGAGAGGGCGGUCGGUCACACUGACACUGACAUACGGGUCAGACUCCUACGGGAGGCAGCAGUCGGGAAUUUUGGGCAAUGGGCGCAAGCCUGACCCAGCAACGCCGCGUGAAGGAUGAAAUCCCUCGGGAUGUAAACUUCGCAAGAAUGGGAAGAAUAAGUGGGGGACAAUACCCCCCAUGAUGACGGUACCAUUUGUAAGCUCCGGCUAACUCCGUGCCAGCAGCCGCGGUAAUACGGGGGGAGCAAGCGUUGUUCGGAUUUACUGGGCGUAAAGGGCGCGUAGGCGGCUCUACAAGUCACUUGUGAAAUCUCCGGGCUUAACUCGGAACGGUCAAGUGAUACUGUCGAGCUAGAGUACAGAAGGGGCAACUGGAAUUCUCGGUGUAGCGGUGAAAUGCGUAGAUAUCGAGAGGAACACCUGCGGCGAAGGCGGGUUGCUGGGCUGAUACUGACGCUGAGGCGCGAAACCAGGGGAGCGAACGGGAUUAGAUACCCCGGUAGUCCUGGCC
This 749-nucleotide ribosomal RNA is filed under the name uncultured bacterium. RNAcentral's name for it is "bacterial SSU rRNA". It matches the Rfam family "Bacterial small subunit ribosomal RNA", at positions 74 to 801 of the family's 1533-position model. The record is from RNAcentral.